This 433-nucleotide ribosomal RNA is filed under the name uncultured bacterium. Its description in RNAcentral is "partial 16S ribosomal RNA". It matches the Rfam family "Bacterial small subunit ribosomal RNA", at positions 29 to 507 of the family's 1533-position model. The record is from RNAcentral.
AGCGAACGCUGGCGGCAGGCCUAACACAUGCAAGUCGAACGAACUCUUCGGAGUUAGUGGCGGACGGGUGAGUAACACGUGGGAACGUGCCUUUUGGUUCGGAAUAACUCAGGGAAACUUGUGCUAAUACCGAAUGUGCCCUUCGGGGGAAAGAUUUAUCGCCAUUAGAGCGGCCCGCGUCUGAUUAGCUAGUUGGUGAGGUAACGGCUCACCAAGGCGACGAUCAGUAGGUGGUCUGAGAGGAUGACCAGCCACACUGGGACUGAGACACGGCCCAGACUCCUACGGGAGGCAGCAGUGGGGAAUCUUGCGCAAUGGGCGAAAGCCUGACGCAGCCAUGCCGCGUGAAUGAUGAAGGUCUUAGGAUUGUAAAAUUCUUUCACCGGGGACGAUAAUGACGGUACCCGGAGAAGAAGCCCCGGCUAACUUCGUG